UGCGCAGGCGGAAUAGUCAGUCAGUGGUGAAAUCCUACAGCUUAACUGUAGAACUGCCAUUGAUACUGCUGUUCUUGAGUACAGUUGAGGUAGGCGGAAUGUGUAGUGUAGCGGUGAAAUGCUUAGAUAUUACACAGAACACCGAUUGCGAAGGCAGCUUACUAAACUGUUACUGACGCUGAGGCACGAAAGCGUGGGGAGCGAACAGGAUUAGAUACCCUGGUAGUCC
This 229-nucleotide ribosomal RNA is filed under the name uncultured bacterium. Its description in RNAcentral is "partial 16S ribosomal RNA". It matches the Rfam family "Bacterial small subunit ribosomal RNA", at positions 568 to 796 of the family's 1533-position model. The record is from RNAcentral.